AACGUACGCUGGCGGCACGCCUAAUACAUGCAAGUCGAACGAAGUAGCAAUACUUAGUGGCAGACGGGUGAGUAACGUGUAGGUAUCUUCCCUAUGGUGAGGAAUAACACGAGGAAACUUGUGCUAAUACCUCAUAAGUCUUUACAGAGAAAGCUUUAUGCGCCAUUGGAUGAGCCUGCACUUGAUUAGUUUGUUGGUAGGGUAAUGGCCUACCAAGACAAUGAUCAAUAGCUGAUUUGAGAGGAUGAUCAGCCACAUUGGGACUGAGACACGGCCCAAACUCCUACGGGAGGCAGCAGUAGGGAAUCUUGCACAAUGGGGGAAACCCUGAUGCAGCGAUGCCGCGUGAGUGAAGAAGGCCCUUGGGUUGUAAAGCUCUUUCGUCGGGAAGAAAUGACUGUACCCGAAUAAGAAGGUCCGGCUAACUUCGUGCCAGCAGCCGCAGUAAC
Molecule: ribosomal RNA, 449 nt
Filed under: uncultured bacterium
Lineage: Bacteria
Description: bacterial SSU rRNA
Rfam family: Bacterial small subunit ribosomal RNA
Source: RNAcentral